Phyllopteryx taeniolatus (common seadragon) is the source of this 951-nucleotide long non-coding RNA. RefSeq lists it as uncharacterized. The transcript is spliced from 3 exons. The record is from RefSeq and is a predicted model, not a curated record. NCBI's taxonomy places the organism in Eukaryota, Metazoa, Chordata, Actinopteri, Syngnathiformes, Syngnathidae.
UGUAGUUCCAGCCACUCUUACGGAGGCUUGACAGUGUGAGACAAACACCUUGACAACACUUGUCACGCUCAUCUCACACGAACGGACACAAACUCGGGAGCGAUAAGACUCUUCACGAAACUUUAGACGCGAGUUAGAUAUGAAGUACAAGUUGGACGGUACUCACUCGGAAUCUUUGGAAGGACACUCGCAGGACGGCUAACCAGCGCGAGCGACGCCAUCUUCCCGUCUACGGCAUCAGAUGAGGGCCACAACAGAGGGGAGCCGUUGAAGGGGAAUUCGGAAACGAAUCAUGAAGGGAAGAGAGGGUACCCAGUGUGGAGCUCAGCCAGGAUGCAGCCCAGACUCCACAUGUCAAUGGCCAUGCUGUAGGGGUGACCCAGGAUGACCUCUGGGGAGCGGUAGAAGCGGCUCUGGAUGUAGGUGUACACUACAGUGGAUGAGGUGACAAGAGCUCCAAUUUACUUCACUUGCUCAUCGUUCUAAUCUGAUUAAAGAAGCCUGUUUCUAUAUGUUUCAUCUGAUUGAGUUACAUAGUUACUGUGAUGUAUGUUCGAUGUUUUGUCUUCCGGUCUUUUGCUGAUCGUACAAUUACUGGAUGGCAUGAAUGUACCGCGAGUUUAUUUUGUAUUGCAUUAUUAUCAUAUUUAACUAUGCCCCUUUUGAUUUUGAUGUGUGAUGGACACUUACAUCUUAUAAUAAAUAGUACAACUCCUUUCAGUUGUGUCGCUUGGCCUCAGUGGCUCUUGGUUGCGUAAUACUACAUUAACAACCCAAAUGAUCUCGCAAACCUGCUAAAAGUGCCUUAAAGAUUGUGAAAACAAAUGAGGGCGUGGGACCUUUAAGGCAUAAUGUUUUUGAAACAACCGUUUGUAUUGCACGUUGUUAAAUUGUACCUAAUGAAGUGUCCAGUCAGUACAAUUUGGCAUAUAAAAGCACACAUGCAGCCAU